GACGAACGCUGGCGGCGUGCCUAAUACAUGCAAGUUGAGCGCUGAAGGUUGGUACUUGUACCAACUGGAUGAGCAGCGAACGGGUGAGUAACGCGUGGGGAAUCUGCCUUUGAGCGGGGGACAACAUUUGGAAGCGAAUGCUAAUACCGCAUAAAAACUUUAAACACAAGUUUUAAGUUUGAAAGAUGCAAUUGCAUCACUCAAAGAUGAUCCCGCGUUGUAUUAGCUAGUUGGUGAGGUAGAGGCUCACCAAGGCGAUGAUACAUAGCCGACCUGAGAGGGUGAUCGGCCACAUUGGGACUGAGACACGGCCCAAACUCCUACGGGAGGCAGCAGUAGGGAAUCUUCGGCAAUGGACGAAAGUCUGACCGAGCAACGCCGCGUGAGUGAAGAAGGUUUUCGGAUCGUAAAACUCUGUUGGUAGAGAAGAACGUUGGUGAGAGUGGAAAGCUCAUCAAGUGACGGUAACUACCCAGAAAGGGACGGCUAACUACGUG
This 497-nucleotide ribosomal RNA is filed under the name uncultured bacterium. Its description in RNAcentral is "partial 16S ribosomal RNA". It matches the Rfam family "Bacterial small subunit ribosomal RNA", at positions 28 to 507 of the family's 1533-position model. The record is from RNAcentral.